This 494-nucleotide ribosomal RNA is filed under the name uncultured bacterium. RNAcentral's name for it is "partial 16S ribosomal RNA". It matches the Rfam family "Bacterial small subunit ribosomal RNA", at positions 28 to 507 of the family's 1533-position model. The record is from RNAcentral.
GACGAACGCUGGCGGCGUGCUUAACACAUGCAAGUCGAACGGAAAGGCCUGCUUUCCCUUGUGGAUUGCGGGUACUCGAGUGGCGAACGGGUGAGUAACACGCGAGUGAUUUGCCCCCAACUUGGGUAUAAGCCUGGGAAACUGGGUCUAAUUCCCGAUAGGACUGCAGGGUGGUGCCUGUGGUGGAAAACGAUUUUCUAGUGGUUGGGGAUGAGCUCGCGGCCUAUCAGCUUGUUGGUGGGGUAAUGGCCUACCAAGGCGGCGACGGGUAGCCGGCCUGGGGGGCGGGACGGCCGCAUUGGGGCUGAGGUCCGGCCCAGAAUACUACGGGAGGCAGGAGUGGGGACUAUAGCGCACUAGGCGGAAGCCUGGUGCAGCGACGCCGCGUGGGAGGUGACGGCCUUCGGGUUGUAAACUCCUUUCGAACGCGAGGAAGCCACCUGGUUGGAAGGGUGGUGACGGUAGUGGUAGAAGAAGCACCGGCUAACUACGUG